UAGCGUAUAUUAAAGUUGUUGCGGUUAAAAAGCUCGUAGUUGGAUUUCUGUGGUAGGCAGCCGGUCCGCACUAUGUGCGAGUAUCUGGUUCGGCUACUGCAUCCUCCUGAAGAACGUUGGUGCGCUUCACUGCGUGGCACGGUAUUCAGGACUUUUACUUUGAGGAAAUUAGAGUGUUCACGGCAGGCGCUUGCCCUGAGUAUAUUAGCAUGGAAUAAUGAUAUAGGCACGUGUGUCUAUUUUGUUGGUUUCUAGACGCACGUGAAUGAUUAAUAGGGAUAGUUGGGGGCAUUCGUAUUUAACUGUC
Molecule: ribosomal RNA, 307 nt
Filed under: Amoebophrya sp.
Lineage: Eukaryota; Dinophyceae; Syndiniales; Amoebophryaceae
Description: SSU rRNA
Rfam family: Eukaryotic small subunit ribosomal RNA
Source: RNAcentral